RNAcentral lists this long non-coding RNA (213 nucleotides) under Mytilus galloprovincialis (Mediterranean mussel). The record is from RNAcentral. Lineage: Eukaryota; Metazoa; Mollusca; Bivalvia; Mytilida; Mytilidae.
GCCGCAUUUGUUGCUUUCCCCAACAUCCUUCCUUUUGUCUAUAUUAUUAUGAUAUUCUCCUGGAAAGAGCUCUUUUUGAAUAAAAGGGAUCAACGAACCCAUUACCUUACCUUUAAGAUAGAUCAGUAAAUAUGGGCAUAAUUAUGGGUGAUUAUUCAGACUAGUGCACACAUUUUACAGUUCAAACAAGGCAAUGCCGAUCGUGGCAUCCCC